GGGGACGUAUGGUUUCGACAGCAUGCGGAGGAUCGGGAAGAGCGGGUCGAGGAUGGAGAAACCUCGAUAAUCCGGCUCCAAAAAAAUAAUCGUCAAAAACGAUUACGCACUCGCAGCUUAGUUAAAAGCAGCGCGCUCUCUGAGGUUUCGGCCGUUGAAUUUCAGAAGGGCGUCACAAUGACGGCUGGGAAUGCUUCAGCGUUUUUCGGAAGCGUUUCGAGAUUUCAGGAAAGACUGGUUUUCGGCAGCCUCGUCUUCGUGACAGCAGGAAACGAGAUUUAAACGAAGACUACACUCGUAGAGCCUCCCAGAUUGGCCCAUGUUGGACCGGGGUUCGAUUCCCCGCGUCUCCACCA
RNAcentral lists this transfer-messenger RNA (356 nucleotides) under Synergistaceae. RNAcentral describes it as "E4-60 sp018065065 Standard tmRNA". It matches the Rfam family "transfer-messenger RNA". From Rfam's summary of the family: Bacterial tmRNA, also known as 10Sa RNA or SsrA, is named for its dual tRNA and mRNA-like properties. The record is from RNAcentral. RNAcentral also lists the same sequence under 1 other name. Lineage: Bacteria; Thermotogati; Synergistota; Synergistia; Synergistales.